Aphis gossypii (cotton aphid) is the source of this 4518-nucleotide long non-coding RNA. RefSeq lists it as uncharacterized. The record is from RefSeq and is a predicted model, not a curated record. The transcript is spliced from 7 exons. Lineage: Eukaryota; Metazoa; Arthropoda; Insecta; Hemiptera; Aphididae.
UAUAUGAAUUAAAAAUUCGCAAUCAAGCAUCAAAAAAGUUCUACCAUAAGAAAAUAUUAAAGUACCUAGGUAAUUUGUAUUAAAAUUGGUUCUAUAUUAUGAAAAAAAAUUGAGGAAGUGCUAAGCUUGAUGCGUUUAUCAAAUAAAUAAAUAAAUAAGAUAACGUAUUUUACCCGAACAAUACGAUUAUAAUGGAAAAUAUAUAAGUGUAGGUAUGAAUUAGUUUGGAGGUUUGAAGUAUUCAUUAAAAUUCAGGCAAUUCUUUAUUGCACAAAAGACGUAUCUACUGAAUUUCAAUUAUGAUUCAGCAUUAAUAAUAAUUUCCAGUUUCAUUAUACGUCAUCACCCUAACCAACAUCGUUUCGACAUUCCUGAGUGAUUGGAAAAAAUAUCGACAACCCUCUGGUUUUUACACGGAUACCGUUUACCGUUCAUUCAGGAAUGCGUGUCACCACCAUAGCAAUAUUUGCUAGCAGUCCAAAGUGAUGGUAUUUAAAUAGUUUGAAAUUCGGUUAAAGUGAACCAUAAAGUUCGGUGUCAACUAAAAGUAAAGAAUAGUUGCAGGUGGAAUAGAAAAGUGAGAGGUUUUUCCAUAGGUGUUUUAUUUCGUUUUACAUUGAGGAAAUGAGAAAAUUCAUACUUUCUCGAUAAUAAUAAUAAAAAAAAAAAAAUGUAUAGUUAUUUAUUAAUCAAAUUUAUGGAAAUUGUGAAUAAAAUAAUUAUUAUAAAUAGGUGUCCAAUAAUAUAUGAGGCAUAUAAUAUGUAUAUAAUAUGACCGUUGACAAAAGAACUCUGCGAAUUAUUGAAGAACAUAAUAUGCGUUAAAUCAUAUGUUGGAAAUCAUGAGAAAUAGGUUUGAACUGUCCAAACAUUUCGUGUGGUUGACCUCCAUCACCCACCAUACUAACACACAACGUGUCGGGAGACGGACGUGUCUUAAAACCACAACUAUAAUGUCAAACUUGCAAGCAAACACUGUCACGACCAUAUAGAGAAUCUGUUGGCGCAGUACACGAAUACUUAAGAUUUUCAAACAUUUUUUGGUCGUCCAUUGUUUGCAACUAUAGUACACUAAACAAAUAUUAUUAAUGCUACAACAAAAGUGUUCGUCAUUUUAACUUUUGUUUUUCGAGAAAAUAGAAUUAAAAUAUUUUUGAUUUAUAACACAACAGUGUAUUUCAAAAGUAGAAUAUAUGCGUUCAACAUCAUUUAACGAAAUACAAUUCCGUUGUUUAAAAUAUGGUGUAGUCAUCAAGUAGAUAGACAUUUUACCAUCGUACGUUCUACAAACACAUUAAAAUGUAUUUAAGUGUAUUAAAAUGAGUAGAAAUCAUUUUGAAUACGUGAAAUGUGAGCAAUUUUUAAGAUCUCAGGUGUAAUGUAAGCCUCUCGAGUAAAGUAAAUUCCGUACAUUUAACUUAUAGAACUCGAUCUAAGUUUCUCAGAAAUGUUUAAAUACUUUAAAUUUCAAAAUAUAAACUAACAAAUAAAUGCAUAUAAAUAUUAUAUUAUUUUUCUAGAACUUACAAUAUAAUUAUAUUGUGAUAACAACUGACACUUAGCAGUUAUCAACCGACUUGUUUUAAAUGCCCAAUGCGUCAAAUUCCGUGUUUAUGAUGUUAAAAAUAAAAAUAAUAAACAAUGUAUAUCUGCAUCAUUUUCAAACUAAUGUGGAAGAAUGAAUUUGUGGCUCAAUCAUCUCAAUAAGUCAUAUUUUUCAAAUAUCAUGUAUUAAUAAUAAAAUAGUGAUGUAGAAUGCAUAGUUACAUUACACAAUAUAAAUAUAUCUAUAUAGUAUUUAUUAUUUGGUUAAUAUGCAUUCAUCAUACAUACGAAACAAAAACCCAAGAAACAAUACUAUCCAUUUUAUUUCAUACAGGUCGUAUAUGUCAGAUAAUAAAUAAAACAAAAUGCAUUUUACAACAAUGAGCGAAGUACACAAGGAAUGUUUACGUCUUUGAACUUGGUCUAACUACCUAACUUAACUUAGUCUUUCCUUUCAAAAAAAAAAUAAAUAAAUAAAUAAAAUAAUGUUAAAAUAUAAUAUUAUAUGAACUGUUUAUCUUUCAUUGUUAACGCGUUGUUUAAACUACUUAAUACGUCGAGGGUUCAAUCUUAAGUAACUAAGAAACAAAUUUUCUUAUUGAAACUCAAUGCAAUGAUUAUGAACCGAAACGGUAUAUCAACAGUAACAGAGUAGGUACACACAGUUCUUCACUUCAAAAGAAAACCUAUCAAGGAGCGUUUCUAUUUUAUUUUAUCAGGCAUGAAUAUUAACGAUUCUAUUCAAACUUAAAACCAAAACGGAUCAGCGAUACUGAGUAAGACGUGGUUUAGAAGACUUCUACCAGUCAAGAGUAAAGUGCUGAAAGUGAGAACUAUGGUCAAUUCUUCACAAAAAUAUUAUAAGUUAUAAUGAAUGGUUGUAUAGUUUUGAUAGACAUUAUUUAAAGAAUCUAUAAUAAUUAAGCUCACGUACAUUUUGCAUCAAUUGGUCUACAAAUUUAAAUAGUCCAUUGCAUAAAGUAAAAUAUAUCCAGUCAUCUUCAUAUUCAGUCCGAAUUUUUACGCGUUUAAUCGAAAAUAACGAAUAAGAUUGGCACGAAACAGUAUUGUUUUAUCGUCUUUAACCAUCCCCAUAAUCACAUAUUCUAUCCUAAACGCGUACAACUUGCUGUACCAUUCUAACCUCAGAUUUUUUAUGUACCUACUACAUACUGCAGCAUCCGGACUAUAAUUUAAACUCCUCCGAGAAUGAACGAAACGUAUUAAUGAGAACAUAAAUCACAACCGUUUCCUGGCGCGUUCGUCUUCGUAAAUCAGAUGUAGUAAUCAUUCGCGCAGCUCUAAUAAAUGGCCAUAGGUCCGCACAUUUAGAAACGUCUGGGAAAAACGUGGUGAGGUCGUUCCAUUAUGGAUUUUCAACGACGAUUACUACAAUUUUAUUUUGAGCUAUGAACAGGAUUUUAAUUGAUAAUUUAUAAUUUUUUUUACGGGACGAUCUUUUUUAACAAUUUAUACGAAAUUUCAUAUAAAAUUGUUAAACUAUUUAACUGGGCGAAAACAUGUUUUAAAGACAUUUAAAGAAAAAAAAAUUAAGAUGAUGUAAGCGAAGGCGGUCAAACUGAAGUUAUUAAACAAAUCCAAUUUUCUGCCAAAAUCAUCCAUGAAAAGUUGAUGAACACAAACUAAAGCUAUACAAAUAUUGUAACAUGUAUAUUGAUGUUGGACAAUGAACGUCGAUUUGAAAGUAAUAGAUUAACAAUGAUUUAUGACACUAAAAGUUAUUUCUAUUAUAAUUAGCCCAUAAAAAUUGACGUUAUUUCAAGACUGCCAGGCCAUAUUAUACGAUUUACAACUCUUUUUGAGCUUAUCAAAAAUUAUAUAUUUCUUGAUAAAUUAUAUAUUUAAGUUUUGUUAUUUACGCAGUAUUUUUUAUAAUAUGUAUAUAGGAUUUACCUAUAAAAAUUACAUAGAGAAUCCUGUGUAAAUAACAACAAUUAUAUACAUAUAUAUAUAUAUAUAUAGGUACUUAUAAUUUUCAUUUGAGAAUCAAAGAUAUUGUUGGUAAAAGUUAUUGAACAAUUCAUAUUAUGUCUAUGUGAUUUCUAUCGAUUGAUUGAAAUAUGAUGCGCUAUACUAUUUAAAUAGGUAGUACGUAUAAAAUAGUCAUAUUUAAUACGAACUGGACCUUUAAGAAAUUCGACUUAUCCAACGGAUGUAAGGUAAACACGGGUCUAAAGUAUUGUUAUUUCCGACAAAUUAGAAUUAAGACUAGAGCUUGCAACACAUAAAAGCUAUGGGACAUAAAUUAUUCCACAGACUAUACUAACGGUAACAUUUUAACCACAAUCCGAUUACAAAGAUUAUAUAGUCCGGAAAUGCCAGUUAUCUUUCCUUGAAUCAACAACAAACUACAUUAUCAAUAUGCAAACAUCAUAAAUGAUACAAAGACGAUAAUAUAACGGAACGACAAGAUUAUCAUAAUAGAAAACAUCAUUAAAAUUGUUAGUUUCGGACGUAACUAAAAUCGUUACGAGUUUCGUUUAAUCGGCAUUCUGCGUUUUCACGGAGUUUAUAAACAAUAACGUUGGGAAAAAUUGCUCUGCUGUUGUAAUGAUAAAUCCGUCUAAAGCAUAAAAUCACACGCGAGCCAGUAAUACGUUUGUUUUAAACGGAUUUCCGUUUUAUUCGGCAAGUCAGAAAAUGCUCGCCGUUAACAAACGCUAUACAAUUCUGUCGUACAUUUUAUUAUCAUUCCUAUGUGAAACCGAUUUAAACGUUACAUGUUAAACAGUUUUAAAUUUAAAUCGUUUACAUUAAACGAUUGAAUUUUCGUUUGUCAAUUUGCAAUUCGCACUGAAUUAUAAUUGUUAAAUUAAAUUGUUUCUUACUAUUCACAAAAACGGUUUAACUGUAAUACAUUGUGCAAAUAAGAAAGAUAUUCAUAUUAAAAUGACUAUAAUCCACAAGAGUUAAUUAAAUUUCCUAAUGGACUAUCUCUCACAAAAAAAUGUC